Molecule: ribosomal RNA, 484 nt
Filed under: uncultured bacterium
Lineage: Bacteria
Description: partial 16S ribosomal RNA
Rfam family: Bacterial small subunit ribosomal RNA
Source: RNAcentral
AUUGAACGCUGGCGGCAGGCCUAACACAUGCAAGUCGAGCGGAUGAAGGGAGCUUGCUCCUGGAUUCAGCGGCGGACGGGUGAGUAAUGCCUAGGAAUCUGCCUGGUAGUGGGGGAUAACGUCCGGAAACGGGCGCUAAUACCGCAUACGUCCUGAGGGAGAAAGUGGGGGAUCUUCGGACCUCACGCUAUCAGAUGAGCCUAGGUCGGAUUAGCUAGUUGGUGGGGUAAAGGCCUACCAAGGCGACGAUCCGUAACUGGUCUGAGAGGAUGAUCGGUCACACUGGAACUGAGACACGGUCCAGACUCCUACGGGAGGCAGCAGUGGGGAAUAUUGGACAAAGGGCGAAAGCCUGAUCCAGCCAUGCCGCGUGUGUGAAGAAGGUCUUCGGAUUGUAAAGCACUUUAAGUUGGGAGGAAGGGCAGUAAGUUAAUACCUUGCUGUUUUGACGUUACCAACAGAAUAAGCACCGGCUAACUUCGUG